GUUGUCCGGAUUUACUGGGUGUAAAGGGCGCGCAGGUGGGCUUGAUAGUUAGAGGUGAAAUCCUGUGGCUUAACUGCAGAACUGCCUUUAAUACUUCAAGUCUUGAGUGCGGAAGAGAGAGACGGAAUUCCAGGUGUAGUAGUGAAAUACGUAGAUAUCUGGAAGAACACCAGUUGCGAAGGCGGUCUCUUGGUCCGUAACUGACACUUAGGCGCGAAAGCGUGGGGAGCAAACAGGAUUAGAUACCCUGGUAGUCCACGCUGUAAACGAUGAAUACUUGGUGUUGGUCCCCUGCAGUGCCGAAGCUAACGCAUUAAGUAUUCCACCUGGGGAGUACGAUCGCAAGGUUGAAACUCAAAGGAAUUGACGGGGGCCCGCACAAGCAGUGGAGCAUGUGGUUUAAUUCGAUGCAACGCGAAGAACCUUACCUAGGCUUGAAAAGCAAGUGACAGGUUGUGAAAGCAGCCCUCCCGCAAGGGCACUUGUACAGGUGCUGCAUGGUUGUCGUCAGCUCGUGUCGUGAGAUGUUGGGUUAAGUCCCGCAACGAGCGCAACCCUUAUCUUUAGUAGCCAGCACGUAACGGUGGGAACUCUAGAGAGACUGCCGAGGAUAACUCGGAGGAAGGUGGGGAUGACGUCAAAUCAUCAUGCCCCUUAUGAUCUGGGCUACACACGUGCUACAAUGGCGAUAACAAAGGGAAGCAAAAGGGUGACCUCUAGCAAACCCCAGAAAAGUCGUCCCAGUUCGGAUUGUAGUCUGCAACUCGACUACAUGAAGUUGGAAUCGCUAGUAAUCGCGAAUCAGAAUGUCGCGGUGAAUACGUUCCCGGGUCUUGUACACACCGCCCGUCACACCAUGGGAGUUGGAAGCGCCCGAAGCCAGUGACUCAACCGCAAGGAGAGAGCUGUCGAAGGUGAAGCCAAUGACUGGGGUGAAGUCGUAACAAGGUAACCA
RNAcentral lists this ribosomal RNA (955 nucleotides) under uncultured bacterium. RNAcentral describes it as "bacterial SSU rRNA". It matches the Rfam family "Bacterial small subunit ribosomal RNA", at positions 540 to 1502 of the family's 1533-position model. The record is from RNAcentral.